Small nucleolar RNA from Leptonychotes weddellii (Weddell seal), 104 nucleotides. RefSeq annotates it as small nucleolar RNA U13. The record is from RefSeq and is a predicted model, not a curated record. Lineage: Eukaryota; Metazoa; Chordata; Mammalia; Carnivora; Phocidae.
AUUCAUUUGUAGUUCAUGAGCAUGAUGGUAGGGUGUUCACGCUGUUGUGUGACAUGUGCCUCCCUCAAACCUGGCUACAACCUCGGCACAUUACCUGUCUGAUA